AUAUGUCUCACUCUUCCUGUACAUAUGUUGAACAUGAAAGAGGUAAUCUCUUCCUGCAAACUAGAACCAACAAACAAAAAGUUAAACAUGAAAGAGGUAAUCAGAUUUCAAAAUUCAAAUGGAUUCGAACACCCGCCUCUAAAUUCCCCCUUCAUUCUCAAAUGACAAAAACCCUAAUCAGAUUUCAAAAUGCAGGUCUCUUUCUUUCAUUGUUCUCUUUCAUCACCCUAUUUUUCCUGCUCUGUGCCUUAUGAAUCAGUUGUUACAUGAUUCAAAUUCAAUAUUUCCCCAUUCCUUUAUUCAUGAUUCGAUCGAAACUGAAUCAAAGGUUUGCGAUGGAACAACGGUGGUGGAACCUUUGAAGAUCGACUGUGACGGCGGUAGUUAGGGUUCCAGCUGUGAAACCCACUUUCCAGGGGUUAAUCUUUGAUGUUCAUCAUUAGGGUUUCCGUCGGUAUUCAACUUCAAUUUACGAUUCUAUUGUUUCACUGAAAUUGAAAUUUUGUUUGGUUUUCUGUGAUGGCUAUGAAAGGAGGGUCAAGAAGGUUGUGUCUUCUUUAGCAGAUUUUGAAUUUUGCGCACAACAAAUCAGACAUUCAUGCCUUCAUUGAGAAAUUUGGAGACAACGGGUUAAGGUCACUUGCUAUAGCAUACUACCAGGAAGUUCGAGAGAGACCUAAAGGGAGUCCUGGAGGACUGUGGCAGUUUAUUGGGCUAAUGUCGCUCUGUCAUCCGCCACGUCAUGAUAGUGCUGACACGAUUCAAAGGGGGUUUGAAUCUUGGGGUAAAUGUGAAAAUGAAGAAUACCCUGCAUCUGACUUCUUGGACUACCACAGGGUGUGUACUUUUGCAGUAAAAAACAAAUCGAUCAUGUGCUUAUCCAUAAUGCCGUCACUAAUUCCUAUCCAAACUUUGACUAAUAAUGGCACUUCACUUUUGUUUUCAAGGACGUCCGCCCCUAUAUUUCAAUAAUGUCUUGCUCAAAAGUGCAUAGGGGCUGGGGGUGUUGCAGAGGCUGGGAAAUGAUAUCUACUAGCUUUAAGCUUUUACCUUUUGAAAUCAUCAUCUUUAAGAUCAGCCGACAUGAUCUGGAACCAUAUUUGUGAUGCAGAUUGAGUCUCAUGACUACAUGGCUAAACUUUUCCAUUCAUUCAUCCGGUUUAAUAACAUCUUACUUGAUUUCAAUAGAGACAUAUGGGGCUAUAUCUCUGUCGGCUACUUCAAGCAGGUGCACGUUUAACGAGAUUUUAAGAAGUAAGCAAUCGUUAAUAACUAUUUGAUUCUGACGUUGUAAAAGCUUGUGUUAUGUAGUUAACUAAGCCGGUGAAAUUGGAUCAUCAACAAUGCCUCACAAAGUCAACCCCAUUGACUUUGAAAACAGUUAAGGCAAUCUCGGGAUAUCUAAUGCGGUUUUCGAUCAUUUAAGCAUUAACUUGCCUAUUUUAUAAUUUAAACAUAAUUGUGUUAUAUACAUUUGUGUUUUUAUAAUUGAGCUUUAAUUCUAAAAUAUUAAUUUGCCAAAUAAAUAAAUUUGGGUUGAAUGGGUCGGGUUUGGGUCAACCGGUGAAUAUUCGGGUUGUGUUCGGGUUCAUAUGUAUGACAUGAUUUUCGGGUUCGGGUCGUGUUCGUCUAAAAUUUUCGGGUUUGGGUUGUGUUGGGUUGAACUCGCCAACCCGCGAACACGACCCGUAACACCCCUAUAAUGCCAUCAUUUAAGGUCUCGCAGGAACCGGGUCCCUUCGAGUUGCAGAAGCACUGAUCGAGAGAUACUUUAUCGAAGUAAAAGUUCUAUUAUCAUCUCCAACUUGGGCUGCAAGUAUGUCAUGCUAUAUAUUGUUAACUUCUCAAUGUUUUAUGAAUAAUCAUGUGAAGUACUUUGCUUAGAAUUUCGGCAAUAUCACACUUUCUUUUUUUCUUCUA
Molecule: long non-coding RNA, 1920 nt
Organism: Helianthus annuus (common sunflower)
Lineage: Eukaryota; Viridiplantae; Streptophyta; Magnoliopsida; Asterales; Asteraceae
Exons: 6
Source: RefSeq, a predicted model, not a curated record